Molecule: long non-coding RNA, 1585 nt
Filed under: Homo sapiens (human)
Lineage: Eukaryota; Metazoa; Chordata; Mammalia; Primates; Hominidae
Description: HSALNT0339572
Source: RNAcentral
AGGAUAAAGUUUACAUGCCUAAGAGUGACAGUAGCCAGCUUGAUCUUGGUGAGGCAAAAUGAAUGAUUUUAAGCCCAUGCAUGACCUCUAUUGUGGCAAUCUGGUCACUUUGUUCAUGAAUUUCAUUUUAUAAGAAGACGUUGGCUGGGAAAAGAACUUGACAUCUACAAGGUGAGAACACAAGUGAGAAGGCAGCUGUCUACAUGCCAGGAAGAGAGCCCUCACCAGAAACUAACCAUGCUGGCACCUUCAUCUUGAACUUCACAGCCUGUAGAACUUCAAGAAAUAAAUUUAUAUUGUUAAGCCACUUUGUUAUGACAUCCUGAGCUGACUAAAACGCAAUACUCUGAAAGCCUUCACUUCGUCUCUCAUGACAUCUUUCAAAAGACCUCAACCAAAGCAACCUUUUCAGUGGGAAGCCUGAGGGAAUGAGUGCUAUCCUAAAUUACUCAUCUGGAUACAGUACCCAUCCCCUGGCUCUCAGAGAACCCUGAGUUAUUACCAUUCUCUCUCUCAUAACAUUAUCACUUGCCAGGAUUUGAAUAUGUCCCCUCCAACAUUCAGAUGUUCAGAAUUAAAGGACAAUGUAAUAGGAUAAACAGGUGGGAACUUUAACAGGAGAUUAGGCCACAAGGACUCCUCCCUCCUGAAUGGGAUUAAGGCCCUUAUAAAAGAAGCUUUGCAAAGCAUUUGGUUAGCUUGUCCUUCUGCCAACUGCCAUGUGAUGAUAUAGCUUUGCUCCCCUCUGGAGGUUGCAUCACCGAAGUACCAUCCUGGAAGCAGAGAGACUGGGCCCUCCGUCACCAGCCAGUACUUUGAUCUUGGACUUACCAGCCUCCAGAACUGCGAGAAAAUACAUUUCUUUUCUUUAUAAAUUACCCAGGCUGUGGUAUUUUGUUAUAGCAGCACUAAUGAAUGAAGACAUCACUUCAUGUUUAAUAUUUGGACUCCCCAUUGGACAUAGGCACCAUGAAGCCAAAGAAGCCUACUCUGCAUAGCCCCAGGAUCUGUCAUUUGGUCUGCUAUGGUGAUGUCUCUGUGAAUAUUUUGUUGAAUUGAUUUGACUGUUUGAAAGAGCAGGCUAUUUUCACUCAUUCUUUCUCCUUCCUAGCCAUGUAAAAUCUGUAUUGAAAUUUUUGAGAAAUAUAUUGAAGAAAGGAUAAAUAACAACUUUCUUAUUUUUAUUUAUUAUGUUUAAAGAAAAAGAACAACUUUAAGGGCAGAAAAUUAACUUAUAAUAGAGUGUAAGAGAAUGGUUUUUUAGAUGAUUUAUCAAUAUCUAUGAGGCUAAAACCAAAUCAAGGAAGAAUUAUAAAGUGUUGCUAAGACCACCUGGGUGCAGCAGCUCAGGCUUGUAAUCCCAGCAAUUUGGGAGGCUGAGGUGGGCAGAUCACUUGAGGCCAGGAGUUUGAGAUCACCCUGAGCAACAUGACAAAACUCCAUCCCUACUAAAAAUACAAAAAUUAGCGGAGCAUGGUAGCAUGUGCCUGUAAUCCCAGCUACUCAGGAGGCUGAGGCAGGACACUCGCUUGAACCCAGGAGGCGGAGGUUUUAGUGAGCCAAGAUCAUGCCACUGCAAUCCAAC